GAGUUUGAUCAUGGCUCAGAGCGAACGCUGGCGGCAGGCUUAACACAUGCAAGUCGAGCGGGCGUAGCAAUACGUCAGCGGCAGACGGGUGAGUAACGCGUGGGAACGUACCUUUUGGUUCGGAACAACACAGGGAAACUUGUGCUAAUACCGGAUAAGCCCUUACGGGGAAAGAUUUAUCGCCGAAAGAUCGGCCCGCGUCUGAUUGGCUAGUUGGUGAGGUAAUGGCUCACCAAGGCGACGAUCAGUAGCUGGUCUGAGAGGAUGAUCAGCCACAUUGGGACUGAGACACGGCCCAAACUCCUACGGGAGGCAGCAGUGGGGAAUAUUGGACAAUGGGCGCAAGCCUGAUCCAGCCAUGCCGCGUGAGUGAUGAAGGCCCUAGGGUU
RNAcentral lists this ribosomal RNA (389 nucleotides) under uncultured Alphaproteobacteria bacterium. RNAcentral's name for it is "bacterial SSU rRNA". It matches the Rfam family "Bacterial small subunit ribosomal RNA", at positions 9 to 424 of the family's 1533-position model. The record is from RNAcentral. Lineage: Bacteria; Pseudomonadati; Pseudomonadota; Alphaproteobacteria.